Molecule: ribosomal RNA, 427 nt
Filed under: uncultured Aquaspirillum sp.
Lineage: Bacteria; Pseudomonadati; Pseudomonadota; Betaproteobacteria; Neisseriales; Aquaspirillaceae
Description: bacterial SSU rRNA
Rfam family: Bacterial small subunit ribosomal RNA
Source: RNAcentral
UGGGGAAUUUUGGACAAUGGGGGCAACCCUGAUCCAGCAAUGCCGCGUGAGUGAAGAAGGCCUUCGGGUUGUAAAGCUCUUUUGUCAGGGAAGAAACGGUGAUUUCUAAUACAAGUCACUAAUGACGGUACCUGAAGAAUAAGCACCGGCUAACUACGUGCCAGCAGCCGCGGUAAUACGUAGGGUGCAAGCGUUAAUCGGAAUUACUGGGCGUAAAGCGUGCGCAGGCGGUUAUGUAAGACAGAUGUGAAAUGCCCGGGCUCAACCUGGGAACUGCAUUUGUGACUGCAUGGCUAGAGUUUGGCAGAGGGGGGUAGAAUUCCACGUGUAGCAGUGAAAUGCGUAGAUAUGUGGAGGAAUACCGAUGGCGAAGGCAGCCCCCUGGGUCAAGACUGACGCUCAUGCACGAAAGCGUGGGGAGCAAACA